RNAcentral lists this ribosomal RNA (228 nucleotides) under uncultured bacterium. Its description in RNAcentral is "partial 16S ribosomal RNA". It matches the Rfam family "Bacterial small subunit ribosomal RNA", at positions 118 to 351 of the family's 1533-position model. The record is from RNAcentral.
UAGGGAUCUGCCCUGAAGAGUGGGAUAACCCGGGGAAACUCGGGCUAAUACCGCAUAAUACCUGAGGGUGAAAGGUUGCAGCAAUGCAGUCGCUUUAGGAUGAACCUGCGUCCGAUUAGCUAGUUGGUAGGGUAAAGGCCUACCAAGGCGACGAUCGGUAGCUGUUCUGAGAGGAAGACCAGCCACACUGGGACUGAGACACGGCCCAGACCUCCGUACGGGAGGCAG